UACAGAGGGUGCUAGCGUUGUUCGGAAUCAUUGAGCGUAAAGGGCGUGUAGGCGGUUUGCUAAGUCAUGUGUGAAAUCCCUCGGCUUAACCGGGGAACGACGCAUGAAACUGGCAAGCUAGAGUACCAAAGAGGGGGGUGGAAUUCCCGGGUGUAGCGGUGAAAUGCGUAGAUAUCGGGAGGAACACCUGUGGCGAAGGCAGGCCCCCUGGUUGGAGUACGUGGACCGGCUGAUACGCGAAAGCGUGGGGAGCAAACAGGAUUGAGAAUACCCCGAGUAGUCCAC
This 285-nucleotide ribosomal RNA is filed under the name uncultured bacterium. RNAcentral describes it as "partial 16S ribosomal RNA". It matches the Rfam family "Bacterial small subunit ribosomal RNA", at positions 524 to 798 of the family's 1533-position model. The record is from RNAcentral.